Caenorhabditis elegans is the source of this 1875-nucleotide RNA transcript. It is a transcript of the gene named Non-coding transcript of protein-coding gene ZC190.6b, with no coding region annotated. The transcript is spliced from 12 exons. Lineage: Eukaryota; Metazoa; Nematoda; Chromadorea; Rhabditida; Rhabditidae. The record is from RefSeq and is marked reviewed.
AUGGAGGUUCUUGUUAUUCUUGCUUAUCUAGAAAUUUGCGUAGUGGUACUGGCUCUUCUGUCAAAUACGUUAUUCAGUUUUAUAAUUUAUCAAGCUUCUAGUCUUCAUUUCAAUUGCAGAAAUUUGCUAAUUUUGUUUUCUGUAUCUAUUUAUCUAUUGGAUAUUUCACAUGGCUUAACUGUUUUCGAGUUUUUAUUCGAAAAGCAAACUUAUUAUCACAUUUAUUUUGUUUCUGUAAGAGGAAUCACAUGGAGAUUCCUUCACGAGUUCGGUUAUUCCCUACAAUCCCUUUCAUUAUUCUUAUUUUCAAUUGAAAGACUCAUUGCAAGUCUAUGUCCAACUGCCUACAGAUCAUUUAAAAUAAGAAUAUGGUUUAUAUUCAGCUUGUUAGGGUCUAUUAUCAUUUCAAUAGGAUUUUCAUACACGGUGCAUAUGGGUCAAGAUAUGUUUUCUCCCACAGUCGCAAUGACUUUGGUGGAUAUUUCAAGUUGUAUUUUUCUCAUCAUUGCCUGGCAAAAAUCAUUGAGCCAUUACCGUUCCACUGUUGGUGUAUUAACCCUUAAUCAAAGAUUUCAACUAUCUGAUGUUUAUACAUGGUCCCGACAUCUUAUUCCUGCUGUUCUUCUAGCUAGCCUUUCAAAAUUCAUGUGCAUAAUCACUAUUUGGGUGUUAAUUACUUCAAAUUUUACUGAAAAUCAAGCAGCUAUUUGGAUCAUAGCUUAUAACAAUAUACUCAAUAUCUAUGCAGUUAUUCUGCCAUUUGUAAUACUUUUGAAAAAUAGGAAAAUUCGGGAGAAGCUCAUUCAUGCAAAAGCUCAAUCGUUAGAUGUACGAAAGACUAUUGAUGGCAGAGAAAUACCACGCAAACAUGAUUAUUUUGAAUAUUUGAAACAGAAUUGGAAAUAGUAACAACUAGAAAGUAAUAUGCCCACCAUUUUCUUGUCUGUGCAGUAUGGAUUGGCUAUAUAUUUUCAAUUUCUUUGAGUUUGUUAUCACAACUAUUGCACUGGGCUCUAGCACUUAUUUUGUGUAUAUUAUUGCCAAUAGUACGAUAGUGCAACCUACUAGCAGGCCGUUCCUCCUGCUCUUCAGUAUUUCAUUAUUUUUUCUUGCACUAACACACGGGUUUCAAAUUUUUGAGUUAUUGAUUGGUGCAGAUGCUGAAAAUGCGAUAGAUUACACAUCAUCGAUGAGAUUAUACGUAUGGAGCCUACUACAUGAAUUUGCAUUUGCUCUUCAUUCAUUUUCAAUUCAAAUGUUUUCUUUGGAACGAUAUAUCACGGCGAAACAAACAAUUACUCAAUCUGUUAGAAAUCAGGUAUUGUCCAUUACAUUAGGUGUCAUUAUCUCCAUUUUAUCAAUGUGCUAUGCUCAAAUUAUUCACUUGGUGGAUUUCCACGUGAUCGCCAUCACAAUAAUGAACCUGGUUGACAUGUCUGCAUUAGUGAUUUUAAUUAUCUCAUCACAAUAUUCCAUUCAAAAUUAUAGAAAAACCGCUGGAAUUGCGUCCCUCGAAAAAAGAUUUCAGAUUUCUGAUGUUUACAUCUGGACACAAGCAAUAAUUCCAGUAGCUUGUAUUGCAUUUUUGAUACAUUUUACUUUUGUUAUUGUGGUUUGGCUUUUGUCAACUCUUGAAAACAGUAGAUACUAUCAGAUGACUUUUUCACAUUAUUUUGAAAAUAUCACAAGUGUUUUCACUAUCUGUGUCCCAUUUUUAGUUGUCUAUAAGCACAAAAGAAUAAAGAAAACGAAACUAUUAAAUCGAAGCCGAAUCGGUCCACAAAAUCAAGUUAGAACUCUUGAUGGAAAAACAAUUCAAAUGAGAGAAACUAUUCAAGAUCAUUUUAAUUUUUUAAAGAAUACUUGGAAAUAAAU